This 260-nucleotide unclassified non-coding RNA is filed under the name Hevea brasiliensis (rubber tree). Lineage: Eukaryota; Viridiplantae; Streptophyta; Magnoliopsida; Malpighiales; Euphorbiaceae. The record is from RNAcentral.
GAUGAUGAUUCAGGGGAAGAUGUUAAAAAUGAAAUAAUCAAUGUUAUCACUUACAAGGCUGUACGGACUGUUCUUCAACAACUCUAUGAGAUGAACCCCCCACAGUAUACAUGGUUUUACAAUUUUAUAGUAAACCACGUGCCUAACACUGGGAAAAAUUUCCUUCAACAGCUUUUCAAGGAAAAGCGAGAACUUGCUGAGAGAGUGAUGAUUACACGUCUUAGCCUUUACAGCAUAUGGAUGCAGAAAUGUGAUCAUGC